RNAcentral lists this ribosomal RNA (548 nucleotides) under uncultured bacterium. Its description in RNAcentral is "bacterial SSU rRNA". It matches the Rfam family "Bacterial small subunit ribosomal RNA", at positions 355 to 896 of the family's 1533-position model. The record is from RNAcentral.
UGGGGAAUUUUGGACAAUGGGCGCAAGCCUGAUCCAGCAAUGCCGCGUGUGUGAAGAAGGCCUUCGGGUUGUAAAGCACUUUUGUCCGGAAAGAAAACSUCGUGGYUAAUAYCCGKGGSGGAUGACGGUACCGGAAGAAUAAGCACCGGCUAACUACGUGCCAGCAGCCGCGGUAAUACGUAGGGUGCAAGCGUUAAUCGGAAUUACUGGGCGUAAAGCGUGCGCAGGCGGUUCGCUAAGACAGAUGUGAAAUCCCCGGGCUUAACCUGGGAACUGCAUUUGUGACUGGCGGGCUAGAGUAUGGCAGAGGGGGGUAGAAUUCCACGUGUAGCAGUGAAAUGCGUAGAGAUGUGGAGGAAUACCGAUGGCGAAGGCAGCCCCCUGGGCCAAUACUGACGCUCAUGCACGAAAGCGUGGGGAGCAAACAGGAUUAGAUACCCUGGUAGUCCACGCCCUAAACGAUGUCAACUGGUUGUCGGGCCUUCAUUGGCUUGGUAACGUAGCUAACGCGUGAAGUUGACCGCCUGGGGAGUACGGUCGCAAGAUUA